UUCAGCAACACUGUAAUUCUUUAAAUCAUGCCUUGUCCCAUCCCAGUGUGUGGCAACAUGCAGUGAAAGUUCCGAUAUAUCCACUUUUACUCCCUUGGCAUUUGCUUUCUGCUCAUACAGAAAACCAUAUUUUAUUUUAUUUUUUCAUUUUGGCCAUGGGGCAACAUGUUUUAGUUCUCCUUCAUUUUCUUACAAAGGUAUCUUCCUAAGUAUGUCAGGAGACACAGCACUGCAUUUUUGGUUGACUUAAAAAACUCUUCAUUAACUUCUUUGCAGGGUGGAGACAGGAAGGAAAUAUUCGUUGAUGUCCAAGUGCGCUUUAUAGUAUAUGCUUAAUGGCUGAUACAUGGCUGAAGCAGAGAUAGUGAGCAUUAACAGCAGCACGUGCUUUAAAUGGCUGUUCAUUUCUUCCGUCGUACCUCCCGUGUGUUCAGAAAUGGCUCAAAGUGUGGCUUGCUAGGAUUUUACUCUGUUUUUUGUCUAAAUUCCUGAUGAUUUUUGCUGUAUUCAUUGAAGGUGCAGGACUAUUCUGUCAGUCCUACAGGAAUAGAGAUUGUAUCUGUAACUUGUCAGCACGUGAACUCAGUUUUGAAAAUAACUCUGUUUCUCCAUCUGUUGAGGGAAAAGUAAAAGGCCAAGAUGCAAGGCUGGGACUUAGCUGCACAAAUGUUGUUGUAGAUGCUCCUCCAGUUGCCACUUCAGGUUUGGCCUCCCCCGUGGCUGGAAGGUGCAUUGCUACAUGGAACAGACUGUUCCCCAUGCACAGCUGCAGCGUGGGAUCACAAGGAGACCGGCACAGCAACAAGAUAUUUCCAUGCUGCAACCAUGCAAUGUGAGAGCAGGAAGGUCACCACCUGAGAAGGGGUGAGCAGUGCAGCAGCCAUUGUGAUAUGACUUGGGCACCUGUUGUUCAUCACCACCUCUCCUGUUUGUUUAUAGCUGCAAACCAGUCCAAUGCUCUGGGGAAGAAGCUUAGAACUGAUCCCUAGGAGCUUAACUGGAAAAAGCUGAAGGAAAGACAUGCAUAAGCAAGCAAGGAGCAGCAGUGAGCAUGGUGAACGUGCUAUGGUAAUGCAGAUUGAUCGGUCCUCUCGGAAAACCAGCCCACCGCUAACAGGGAGAAGACGAGCAGAAAACCUUUAAAACUUAUUAUCACCUCUAGACGAGGCAGGCUGAAGAAGACAGAGUAGUCAGCUGUUGCAGCAGCACAGUGAGAAUGAUCUAAAUGCUGGUCCCACACUGCAGCCACUGUGGCUAGGUGAGAAAAUCACAGCCUGUAGGACGCCAACAUUUGAAAUUUACCCUCGGGAGACGCUGUUAGCGAUUAUUAUUUGUUAUUUCCACCACAGAAGACUGGAAACCUCAAAUCUCACUGCCUUAAAUGCAAAGGAAGAGAGAACAAAACCCUACUAAUGAAAUGAGCAGUGAGUGAUAUGAUUGCAAAUAAAGUGAGACAGCUGUGUGGGCUGUAAGCUGUGGAGAUGGUGCAAACAGUUGCUUAAUUUGUUUUGGGGUUUUAAAAAAAAUAGAGUAGUUCAGUUGGAAGGGAUUUACAAAGAUCAUGCAGUCCAAUGGCCUGUCCACCUCAGGGCUAACCAAAAGUCCAAGUGUGUUAACGAGGGCAUUGCCCAAAUGUCUCUUGAAUGCCAGCAGGAAUGGGGCAUCAGCCACCUCCCUAGGAAGCCUGUUCCAGCUUUGGCACCCUCCCAGGACAGGAACUUUGUCUCGUGCCCAGGCCGUCCCUCCCCUGGCGCAGCUCCGUGCUGUCCCCACGCCUCCUGCCCUCGGUCCCCGGGGAGCAGAG
This is a long non-coding RNA of Cygnus olor (mute swan), 1804 nucleotides long. RefSeq lists it as uncharacterized. The transcript is spliced from 4 exons. The record is from RefSeq and is a predicted model, not a curated record. NCBI's taxonomy places the organism in Eukaryota, Metazoa, Chordata, Aves, Anseriformes, Anatidae.